Molecule: long non-coding RNA, 478 nt
Filed under: Zostera marina
Lineage: Eukaryota; Viridiplantae; Streptophyta; Magnoliopsida; Alismatales; Zosteraceae
Description: long non-coding RNA (ZMAR_LNC003346)
Source: RNAcentral
CGCGAUGCCGAAGAUUGAGUUCCGGCACCCAUCCGCGGAACCCAUCGUGAUUCCAUUUCCGGCACCCAUCCGCCUGUUCCGAUCAUGAAGGGUACCAAGCCGAUUCCGGGGAGGCACCCACUUGUUGGCACUCCCGUGCACAAAGGUGAAAGAUCGUCGGAUUUGACGACAAAAACCAGGAGCGUGAGUGCUAGUAGAGUUCAUCCGAGAGGCUCGUGAGAGAGGAACGAUGACGGUGUUGUUGUUAUUCAACCGACUGUUCUGAAUUUGGAAUCCGGCACCUGCACGCCGAUGAAGAGAGGGAGGAAAAUGCCAUUGGAUGGGGAGAGAAGGAAGUCAGGGAUGAUCAUAAAUAAUACGUUGCGAAGUUCAGUCAAUCGAAGUCUUGUUUUGACGAAAUCAACCAAUUCCAAUAAAGACGAUGAUGGAAUAUCGUCUCUGGUUAAAAAAAGCUUCAGUUCAUCCCACUUUUUCUGAA